RNAcentral lists this ribosomal RNA (535 nucleotides) under uncultured euryarchaeote. RNAcentral describes it as "bacterial SSU rRNA". It matches the Rfam family "Archaeal small subunit ribosomal RNA", at positions 294 to 799 of the family's 1478-position model. The record is from RNAcentral. Lineage: Archaea; Methanobacteriati; Methanobacteriota.
CCGUGACACUUAGAAAGUUGCGUCGAGUUCUUACUGAGUGCAGCGGGGGCGAAAACUUUUCAUUGCUUGCAACAGCGAUAGGGGAACCACGAGUGCCAGGAUACAAUCCUGGCUGUCGUAAUGUCUAAAAAACACAAUAUAGCAAGGGCCGGGCAAGACCGGUGCCAGCCGCCGCGGUAACACCGGCGGCUCGAGUGGUAACCGCUAUUAUUGGGUCUAAAGGGUCUGUAGCCGGCUGGAUAAGUCUCUUGGGAAAUCCGGCGGCUCAACUGUCGGGCGUUCAGGGGAUACUGUUAGGCUCGAGACCGGGAGAGGUGAGAGGUACUUCAUGGGUAGGGGUGAAAUCUUGUAAUCCUUGAAGGACCACCAGUGGCGAAGGCGUCUCACCAGAACGGAUCUGACGGCAAGGGACGAAAGCUAGGGGCACGAACCGGAUUAGAUACCCGGGGUAGUCUUGGUCUUACAUGGGUACGGCUGGCUUGGGCAGGCUAGGACUGGCAUGGGAUCGCUAGCACUGACUUCACAUCACUGCACA